GGGGGGGGCAAGCGUUGUUCGGAAUUACUGGGCGUAAAGGGCUCGUAGGUGGCCAACUAAGUCAGACGUGAAAUCCCUCGGCUUAACCGGGGAACUGCGUCUGAUACUGGAUGGCUGGAGUUUGGGAGAGGGAUGCGGAAUUCCAGGUGUAGCGGUGAAAUGCGUAGAUAUCUGGAGGAACACCGGUGGCGAAGGCGGCAUCCUGGACCAACACUGACGCUGAGGAGCGAAAGCCAGGGGAGCAAACGGGAUUAGAUACCCCGGUAGUCCUGGCCCUAAACGAUGAAUGCUUGGUGUGGCGGGUAUCGAUCCCUGCCGUGCCGAAGCUAACGCAUUAAGCAUUCCGCCUGGGGAGUACGGUCGCAWGRCUG
Molecule: ribosomal RNA, 371 nt
Filed under: uncultured bacterium
Lineage: Bacteria
Description: bacterial SSU rRNA
Rfam family: Bacterial small subunit ribosomal RNA
Source: RNAcentral